AAUUAGGUGGCUGAUAAAAGUAAUAAAUUGUAAAUUUAUAAAUAAGAAUAUUCUUCCUUAUUA
RNAcentral lists this transfer RNA (63 nucleotides) under Bradysia impatiens. RNAcentral describes it as "tRNA-Tyr". The record is from RNAcentral. Lineage: Eukaryota; Metazoa; Arthropoda; Insecta; Diptera; Sciaridae.